GCCGGAGUGGCGGAAUUGGCAGACGCGCACGACUCAAAAUCGUGUUCCCUCGGGAUUGUGGGUUCGAUUCCCACCUUCGGCACCA
This 85-nucleotide transfer RNA is filed under the name Anaerolineaceae bacterium. Its description in RNAcentral is "tRNA-Leu". It matches the Rfam family "tRNA". Rfam says of the family: Transfer RNA (tRNA) molecules are approximately 80 nucleotides in length. Their secondary structure includes four short double-helical elements and three loops (D, anti-codon, and T loops). The record is from RNAcentral. Lineage: Bacteria; Bacillati; Chloroflexota; Anaerolineae; Anaerolineales; Anaerolineaceae.